This 259-nucleotide ribosomal RNA is filed under the name uncultured bacterium. Its description in RNAcentral is "partial 16S ribosomal RNA". It matches the Rfam family "Bacterial small subunit ribosomal RNA", at positions 793 to 1055 of the family's 1533-position model. The record is from RNAcentral.
GUCCACGCCGUAAACGAUGAGCACUAGGUGUCGGGCCGCAGGGAUUCGGUGCCGCAGUUAACGCAUUAAGUGCUCCGCCUGGGGAGUACGCACGCAAGUGUGAAACUCAAAGGAAUUGACGGGGACCCGCACAAGCAGCGGAGCAUGUGGUUUAAUUCGAAGCAACGCGAAGAACCUUACCAGGACUUGACAUCCCUCUGACAUCCCUUUAAUCGGGGAUUUCUUCGGACGGAGGAGACAGGUGGUGCAUGGUUGUCGU